RNAcentral lists this long non-coding RNA (844 nucleotides) under Homo sapiens (human). RNAcentral describes it as "HSALNT0300489". The record is from RNAcentral. Lineage: Eukaryota; Metazoa; Chordata; Mammalia; Primates; Hominidae.
CCAGAUUUGUGCUUUAGAAAGGUUGCUGGUUGCAGAGCUGGUGGGAUGCGUUUUUAUUUGAAAAGGAUGGCAUGUAAUUAUCCCCUGCCUCAUAACAUAGGAAGUUAAGCUCUCCUUGUCCUGGAGGGAAGAGGAACCGAUACAGAAUUUCAGUGGCUCUGGACUCAAGGGCCACUAAGGUCAACUGUGAAAGGGUAAGAUUUGUUUUGGGGAGCGAGUAAACUGGCAUGGAGGAAUAAAGAAGGGCAAGAGAGAGGGGUGACUAGAGGAGCUCGCCUGCAUUCAGGGGGCUCUCAGAGGAGCCCUGGAAGCCUGGGUGUGGGCUUAGGAAGUCACUCAAGGAUGGAGAGGCAGUGGCGGAGCCAGCGGAGUCCCCCCACGAGGGCCUUGUUCAGGUGCGGAAGACAGCCUGUGGAUGCCUCCAGUUCUGCAAGAGCCUUCCCUGGCUGGCACCUGGGCUGAUGCAGCAGAUCCUCCUGUGGGUGCCGGAGGGUCUUCAGCCCUGAUGUUGAAGCAUCACAGAAGCUGCACUCUGGGACCUGAGACCAGGCCGGCUCUGUCUGAUGACUCAGUCAACAUUCAGGGCCUACAACCACUGACCUCCCACCAAGACACACACAAGGAACUCGCGCUCUGACCCAGGGGUACAGCUCACCCUUUCACGCGUGCAGGCCUGGGCUUCCAGAGGCUUCCCAGUGUGCCUGCCCGAGGUCACAUCUCCAGCAGGGGCAGCCCUGGGUUGGGAACACGGGCCUCUGAUUCCAAGCGAGCUCCUCCAUUCCUGGCGGCUUCAGGAGAGCUCCUGGGGGUGCUCCGAGGCUUGUUCUCCUCUUCUGUCUGGAUG